RNA transcript from Bactrocera neohumeralis, 3065 nucleotides. RefSeq lists it as uncharacterized. The record is from RefSeq and is a predicted model, not a curated record. NCBI's taxonomy places the organism in Eukaryota, Metazoa, Arthropoda, Insecta, Diptera, Tephritidae. The transcript is spliced from 2 exons.
UAUAUUCCGAAAUACCACAAUAUUUCACUUGGAAUCCAUCAUCGAAAACAUUUCAACGACGAAAGCAAGGGGAGCGUGUUGACGGUUAUCCAAAUGUCCGUUAACCAGAUGCCAUAAGACGCAUUUACACCAUCCAUCCGAACAACGCCGAAUGUUUCUAUUUGCGUCUGCUAUUAGUCAACGUGCGCGGACCAAGAUCAUUUGAUGAUUUGAAACGGUCAGUUGUGUGCGACGUAUCGUGAAGCAUGUCCGCGAUUGCAUUUGUUAGAAGAUGAUAUGCAUUGGGACACCGCACUUCAUGACGCAUCACUCACAUCUCAUCCAAAACAAUACAAAAAUACGCGUACUAUUCGCCAUAAUAAUAUCUACAUGCCUUUUGUCAAAUCCGCAAGAACUGUGGAAUAAGUGCAAAGACUGCAUGACCGAGGACUUAUUAAUUUUGGCGCGUAAUCGAGCAUCGGACGCAGACUUGCUAUAUACAUUACAAAUGUAUAAUGAUGCUUUGAUAUUGGUUGAAGAUCUGUGCCUUACAAUUGCGAAUAAGGCAUUAGCGCAACUUGGCAUAACUGCGCCCAAUCGUUCAGCGAUUGAUAUGCUUGACCAUGAGCUUCAAUGUGAACAACAAUACGAUUGCAAUGAAUUGCGUGCUUUCAUACAAGCUAACAUUACCAAAUUGAAUAUUCAGCAGAAAAAUGCUUAUGAUAAGAUUAUACGAGCGGAUGCGCCCGGUGGUACAGGGAAAACGUUUCUGAUCUCUUUGAUUCUUGCUACUAUACGGUCACAGCAGAAAAUUGCGCUGGCAAUUGCUUCGUCAGGCAUCGCUGCUACUCUACUUGAUGGUGGCCGAACAGCACAUUCUGCGUUGAAAUUACCGUUGAACAUCCAAGUCGUUGAAACACCAACGUGCAACAUAUCGAGGAAUUCAACAAUGGCAAAAGUUUUGCGAGGAGCUGGAAUAGUUCUAUGGGAUGAGUGCCCAAUGGCUAACAAGAAGUCAUUAGAAGCAUUCAAUAGAACAAUGCAAGAUUUACACCAAAAGCAACAACUUUUUGGCGGAGCAUUAGUCUUAUUAUCCGGCGAUUUUCGGCAACUUUUUCAGUCAUUCCUCGAUCAACUCCUGCCGACGAAAUAAACUUUAAACAUACGUUUCGUCAGUUUUGUGGAGACAUGUUCAAAAACUGACUCUUACCAUCAACAUGCGAGUCCAAUUGCAAAAUGAUCGAUCCGCAGCGGCGUUUUCGAAGCAGUUGUUGGACAUUGGCGAAGGCAAAAUAGAAUCGAUAAUACCGGUUUGAUCACAUUGCCGAACAACUUUUGUACACUUUUACAAUCGAAAGAAGAAUAGAUUGAAAGUGUAUUUCCGAAUAUUGUUCAACACUAUCAACGCCACGAUUAUUUAAGUGAACGCGCAAUAUUGGCACCGAAAAAUGUACACGUCAACGAAAUCAAUUUUGCCAUUCAAGAAAAACUGCCAGGAGAAGCUACAACAUAUACAUCGAUUGAUAGCGUUUUAAAUCAAGAUGAAGUAGUCAAUUAUCCAACUGAAUUCUUGAAUUCUUUGGAUCCCCCCGGUCUGCCACCGCAUCGUUUGGUCCUGAAAGUCGGUUCACCCAUUAUACUUCUACGAAAUCUGAAGCCACCGACUUUGUGUAAUGGCACAAGACUUUCAGUCAAAAAUUGUGGCCAAAUUUGAUUGAAGCAACAAUACUAAAUGGCAAGGCAGCAGGUGAAGUUGUACUCUUACCACGCAUUCCCAUGAUUCCAACGGACAUGCCGUUUGAAUUUAAGCGCUUGCAGUUCCCAGUACGUCUUGCCUUUGCGAUGACCAUCAACAAAUCGCAAGGCCAAACGUUUCAAGUGUGCGGCGUCAAUUUGGAAGAACCGUGCUUCUCCCACGGCCAAUUGCUCGAGAGUGGGAACACCAAGGUGCUUAUUCAUUUACGCGCCAGGUGGAAAAACCAAAAAUGUGUUUACCAAUAUAUUUAAUAAAUGUUUUAUAAAUAAAUAACAGUUUUACAACAAUAAAUAAAACUCAAAGUAAAAACCCUUAAGAGUUUUAAUCGAUUUAGGUGUUGCUAAACGCACAGGGUAACAGCUAGUUGUUACUAAAGUAUAUAACGCCGUGCAUAUGAACUAUUUUGCACAAAUUUACAGGGAAGAACCGAAAAUAAAACAACAAACUCAACCAAAGCAAUUUGAAAUUCUCGUGGAUUUCAUGAAGGCGCAUGCCGAUUUAUCGAAAGGAUCACUGAAAACACCAGACGCCAAAAGUACCUCCACUAAUUUAUGGAAAAAUUUAGUUUCCCAUUUAAAUGCAGCUGGGCCACCAUUGCGCGACAUUGCGGGGUGGAAAAAGGUUUGGGCAGACUAUAAGAUUCACUGAAAGGCAAAAAUGCGACGAAACAAAAAUAAUAUUUCGGAAACUGGAGGUGGUCCUUCACUUUUCAUACCCUUAUCACAGUUAGAGCAUCAAGUGAGUGAGUUAUUGUCAAUAGAGGAAUCAAUAAAUGAAAUGAGUGGUACCUUGUCAUUCGGUGCAGCUACAAGCAGCAUGUCAGAGGUAAAUGCAGACCCUACCAAACCAAAUACACAAAACAGUGAACUACCACAAUGUUCCAAAGUGGCAUGCACACCUCACAAAAAACAGCAGACUCCUCUUAAUACACAAGAAAAUGACCUACCACAAUGUUCAAAUUUGACGUACCCACCGCGCAAAAAGCAGCAGACUCUGCUUGAACAACAAGUCGAAAACCAAAUUAUAUUCCACAAUAACUCGAUUAAAGUGUUAAACGAUAUAAAUUAUAAUAUAAAAAACAUUUUGAAAACAUUGAAAAAAAGAAAUAAAUUAGAAAAACGGAGACUAACCUUUGAAAAGGAAAAAUUUCUGAAAAAAUUGAUGAACAAAAAUUGAGAAACUGGAAAAUGUAAGUUAAAUAACUAUAUAACUGCGAGAAGUAGAAUUAAAAACUACAAAUUUAAUCUGUAAUUAUUUAAAUUUAAUUUUCCUUAUUACAAUGAAAUAAAAGACUGGAUUUAUUAAUUUGCAAAUAGUUCGUUUUAAUUAA